CCUACGGGAGGCAGCAGUGAGGAAUAUUGGUCAAUGGGCGCGAGCCUGAACCAGCCAAGUAGCGUGAAGGAUGACUGCCCUACGGGUUGUAAACUUCUUUUAUAAAGGAAUAAAGUGAGGCACGUGUGCCUUUUUGUAUGUACUUUAUGAAUAAGGAUCGGCUAACUCCGUGCCAGCAGCCGCGGUAAUACGGAGGAUACGAACGUUAUCCGGAUUUAUUGGGGUUAAAGGGAGCGUAGAUGGGUUGUUAAGUCAGUUGUGAAAGUUUGCGGCUCAACCGUAAAAUUGCAAUUGAUACUGGCAGCCUUGAGUACAGUUGAGGUAGGCGGAAUUCGUGGUGUAGCGGUGAAAUGCUUAGAUAUCACGAAGAACUCCGAUUGCGAAGGCAGCUUACGAAACUGCCACUGACAUUGAUGCUCGAAAGUGUGGGUAUCAAACAGGAUUAGAUACCCUAGUAGUC
Molecule: ribosomal RNA, 460 nt
Filed under: uncultured bacterium
Lineage: Bacteria
Description: partial 16S ribosomal RNA
Rfam family: Bacterial small subunit ribosomal RNA
Source: RNAcentral